AGCAUAGGCAAUUCCAGUGCUUAUGCUCAGGCAAAGUGUGAACAAUCCAAGGAAUAUAAAAUUCAAUGGAUGACUCUGCCGAUAUGAAUACAAGGGGCACAACACUACACAUUGGAGAGUAUGAGGUAUGUUAACUACUUGCUGAUUGGAUGUUAGAAGACAUUCCAUGAAGAUGAAAUUAAUUUAGCAUGCAAAGUAUUAGACAAAAUAUUUGGACUUUUCUUAAAAUGUGUAAAUUAUUUGGGAAGCCUGGCCUGCAUCCAUAUGGAUGGGACAGGAGGUUGGAUGAAACAAAUGUUUAUCUAAGCAGCUCAAUUGGUUUUCUUCAAAAAUGGUGAAGGGAAAGUGAUAUGUAUCCUUGUCAUGGUGGCGAGUCCUCUAGUGGUGGUUCAUCCUCGAAUGUAAUUAUAGAAGACGCACAUGAGAAGUUAUCAGUAUAGUCGUCGGAUGUGCAAGUGGAC
This is a long non-coding RNA of Magnolia sinica, 461 nucleotides long. RefSeq lists it as uncharacterized. The record is from RefSeq and is a predicted model, not a curated record. The transcript is spliced from 3 exons. NCBI's taxonomy places the organism in Eukaryota, Viridiplantae, Streptophyta, Magnoliopsida, Magnoliales, Magnoliaceae.